RNAcentral lists this ribosomal RNA (482 nucleotides) under uncultured bacterium. RNAcentral describes it as "partial 16S ribosomal RNA". It matches the Rfam family "Bacterial small subunit ribosomal RNA", at positions 30 to 507 of the family's 1533-position model. The record is from RNAcentral.
AUUGAACGCUGGCGGCAUGCUUUACACAUGCAAGUCGAACGGUAACAGCACUUCGGUGGCUGACGAGUGGCGAACGGGUGAGUAAUACAUCGGAACGUGCCUAGUAGUGGGGGAUAACUACUCGAAAGAGUAGCUAAUACCGCACGAGAUCUAAGGAUGAAAGCAGGGGACCUUCGGGCCUUGCGCUACUAGAGCGGCUGAUGGCAGAUUAGGUAGUUGGUGGGAUAAAAGCUUACCAAGCCGACGAUCUGUAGCUGGUCUGAGAGGGCGACCAGCCACACUGGGACUGAGACACGGCCCAGACUCCUACGGGAGGCAGCAGUGGGGAAUUUUGGACAAUGGGCGCAAGCCUGAUACAGCAAUGCCGCGUGCAGGAUGAAGGCCUUCGGGUUGUAAACUGCUUUUGUACGGAACGAAAAGCCCUCUUCUAAUACAGGAGGGUCAUGACGGUACCGUAAGAAUAAGCACCGGCUAACUACGUG